GACGAACGCUGGCGUCGUGCUUAACACAUGCAAGUCGAACGGAAAGGCCCUGCAUUUGUGGGGUGCUCGAGUGGCGAACGGGUGAGUAACAAGUGAGUAACCUGCCCUUGACUUUGGGAUAACUUCAGGAAACUGGGGCUAAUACCGGAUAGGAGCUCCUGCUGCAUGGUGGGGGUUGGAAAGUUUCGGCGGUUGGGGAUGGACUCGCGGCUUAUCAGCUUGUUGGUGGGGUAGUGGCUUACCAAGGCUUUGACGGGUAGCCGGCCUGGGAGGGUGACCGGCCACAUUGGGACUGAGAUACGGCCCAGACUCAUACGGGAGGCAGGAGUGGGGAAUAUUGCACAAUGGGCGGAAGCCUGAUGCAGCAACGCCGCGUGCGGGAUGACGGCCUUCGGGUUGUAAACCGCUUUCGCCUGUGACGAAGCGUGAGUGACGGUAAUGGGUAAAGAAGCACCGGCUAACUACGU
This 467-nucleotide ribosomal RNA is filed under the name uncultured bacterium. RNAcentral describes it as "partial 16S ribosomal RNA". It matches the Rfam family "Bacterial small subunit ribosomal RNA", at positions 28 to 506 of the family's 1533-position model. The record is from RNAcentral.